RNAcentral lists this small RNA (47 nucleotides) under Arabidopsis thaliana (thale cress). RNAcentral's name for it is "ATSL103600". Lineage: Eukaryota; Viridiplantae; Streptophyta; Magnoliopsida; Brassicales; Brassicaceae. The record is from RNAcentral.
AAUAUGGAAACUUGAAUAUCUUCUUCUUCUUCUUCCUUCUCCUUUCU